AGUUCGAGACGAACCACAACCCCGGGAUGUCGACUACAUCCGGGAGUUUCCAUCACCGCCUGGGAGGGCCUCGGAGGAAACGCAUCAUUGAAAUGCAGAGCGUGACCCUAGGCCUCCCUGAGAACGGCAUUUUGGGGGGUUAA
RNAcentral lists this unclassified non-coding RNA (143 nucleotides) under Colletotrichum gloeosporioides. RNAcentral describes it as "internal transcribed 2". Lineage: Eukaryota; Fungi; Ascomycota; Sordariomycetes; Glomerellales; Glomerellaceae. The record is from RNAcentral.